This 253-nucleotide ribosomal RNA is filed under the name uncultured Legionella sp. RNAcentral's name for it is "partial 16S ribosomal RNA". It matches the Rfam family "Bacterial small subunit ribosomal RNA", at positions 524 to 776 of the family's 1533-position model. The record is from RNAcentral. Lineage: Bacteria; Pseudomonadati; Pseudomonadota; Gammaproteobacteria; Legionellales; Legionellaceae.
UACGGAGGGUGCGAGCGUUAAUCGGAAUUACUGGGCGUAAAGGGUGCGUAGGUGGUUAUCUAAGUCAUUUGUGAAAUACCUGGGCUUAACCUGGGCAGGUCAGAUGAGACUGGUUGACUUGAGUAUGGGAGAGGGUAGUGGAAUUUCCGGUGUAGCGGUGAAAUGCGUAGAGAUCGGAAGGAACACCGGUGGCGAAGGCGGCUACCUGGCCUGAUACUGACACUGAUGCACGAAAGCGUGGGGAGCAAACAGG